Molecule: ribosomal RNA, 459 nt
Filed under: uncultured bacterium
Lineage: Bacteria
Description: bacterial SSU rRNA
Rfam family: Bacterial small subunit ribosomal RNA
Source: RNAcentral
AACGAACGCUGGCGGCAGGCCUAACACAUGCAAGUCGAGCGAACCCUUCGGGGUUAGCGGCGGACGGGUUAGUAACGCGUGGGAAUAUACCCUUUGGUACGGAAUAGCCUCGGGAAACUGAGAGUAAUACCGUAUGUGCCCUUCGGGGGAAAGAUUUAUCGCCAAAGGAUUAGCCCGCGUUGGAUUAGAUAGUUGGUGGGGUAAUGGCCUACCAAGUCUACGAUCCAUAGCUGGUUUGAGAGGAUGAUCAGCAACACUGGGACUGAGACACGGCCCAGACUCCUACGGGAGGCAGCAGUGGGGAAUCUUAGACAAUGGGCGCAAGCCUGAUCCAGCCAUGCCGCGUGGACGAUGAAGGCCUUAGGGUUGUAAAGUCCUUUCAGAUGGGAAGAUAAUGACGGUACCAUCAGAAGAAGCCCCGGCUAACUCCGUGCCAGCAGCCGCGGUAAAGUCUGUACU